Canis lupus familiaris (dog) is the source of this 491-nucleotide long non-coding RNA. RefSeq lists it as uncharacterized. Lineage: Eukaryota; Metazoa; Chordata; Mammalia; Carnivora; Canidae. The record is from RefSeq and is a predicted model, not a curated record. The transcript is spliced from 2 exons.
UGUCAGAAGGAGGUUCAUUUGCUUUUGGACUGUGACUGAUGGUGGGUAACUGAAACCACAGAAAGCAAAACCCUGUGAAAGAGAGACUACUGUAGAUACAUAUGUGUACACACAUAUAUACACAUAUAAAGUACCUACAUAUGAAGAAAAUAUGAGGGAGAGCAACCACAAGCAGGGUGAGCAGCAGAGGGAGAGGGAGAAGCAGUUCCCCACUGAGCAGCGCGCCCGACAUGGGGCUCCAUUCCAGGACUCUGGGAUCAUGACCUGAGUGGAAGGCAGAUGCUUAAACGACUGAACCACCCAGAUACCCCUCACAUGAGUUUUAGAUCAAACAUAGAUAAGCAAACUUGGGCAAGUUACUUAAUCUCUUGAAACUCCAUUUUCUUAAGGUCAGGUGAAAAUAUUUCAAAGAACUGUGAUGAAAUUUAAAUGAUACAAGGAAUGUAAAGUUUCUAUCAUUCAAUAAAUACUAGAUAUUAUUGUUAACAUUA